Anas platyrhynchos (mallard) is the source of this 3833-nucleotide long non-coding RNA. RefSeq lists it as uncharacterized. The record is from RefSeq and is a predicted model, not a curated record. Lineage: Eukaryota; Metazoa; Chordata; Aves; Anseriformes; Anatidae.
GAAACUAGGUAUCUUUAGGGUCCCUUCCAAUCCAAGGCAUUCUAUGUUUCUGUGAAAUUUGCUAGAGUGGAACUGCAGACUCCCCUAAACUCAAGUGUGCUCAAGAAAUUGGUUCAUUUUAUGUCUCUCACUAGAAGAAGUCCUUUAAUUCAGCACUUGGUUGCUGCUGUUUCUGGUCUAUGAAAUUUCCUGCCACUUUCUGAACUUUCAUUGUGUCUGCAGGCAUUGCAGGAUUUAGCAGAGCUUUUGUAUGUGGCACUGAGGAAGGCUUUUGCCAUUUAGGCGGCCCUAUGUGUUGCACUCGGGUUUUGCCCGUGAGCAGCAGUAGUAUCAGUCCAUUGAGCCAGUGUAUUUGUGGAACUAUAAAUCUGUCACUACUCUGUUUUCAAGUCUUGUUUAAGGUUACACUUUAUAUCCACGCAAAAAGCCAGCAGUUACGGUAACAGUGUACGCAAUAAAUAAACACACAAUCUAGAAAUCUGAUGCUAGACACAAGCACGGACAAAAAGCUGCAAGCAUCCCUUUAUCUGAGAGCCUGAAACAUCGUGCUACAGCAAUAUGCAGACAAGCAACAGGAUUCUGAAAUUCCAAGUGAGCUCCACGGGACGUGAGCAGCUCCAUUUUCUUUUCCCAGCACGGACUGCAGAAAAAGCGUCUCCAAGAGAGCCGGCCGCCGCACGCCCGUCUGUCGGGCACAGGGCGGGGGCAGCUGCCCCCCCCCCCCCAGUCGGCGGGCGCCCGCGAGGGGCGCGGCCCGAGCCCCGCCGCCGAGCAGCACCGGGCUGCGAGCUCCGCGCCGCGCCGCCCCCCGAGCCGCCGUGCCCGCCCCCCGGCCUGGCGCUGCCGCGGGGCGCGAGCAGCACGCUGCGGAGGCGGAAGUGAGAGUCUUCACCUAUCCAUCUGUUGUUCUAAAGUUACCCAGAAUUUUGUGCAACUUGCAACACAGAGAAGAAGCUGAGAAGAGCAGUGCUCACACAAAGCCAAGGACUUUUCAGCUUCUCAUGCUGCCCUGCCAGAAAGGAGACUGGGGAUGCACCAGAAGCCAGGAGGGGACACAGCCAGGACAGAUAUGAGAGAAAUGGGAACAGGAGGAAUUUUGGAAUGAUGCAAAGAGAAGAUGGAAAGUAGAAAACAUUCCAUGAAGAAAUAAAGAGAAGAGUAAGAAGUGCUGAAAUGAAGGACACGAAUGAAACUAUUUUGUUCCAAAAGUUGCACUAUAGUCGUGACAGAAAAUGAACACAGAUAUAGUGUGCUGUCUUUAUACAGAAAUCAGCAUUCCACAAAAAGAAAAGUCAAACCAACACAAAAAAUACAAACACAGAAAUAACUAUACUAAAUUCAAGAACAUAUUACUUAGAGAAAACACAACCAUUAAAAACUUGGAGGAACAAGGACUAGUAGUGAUUUUACUUUGCACUGACCAGCACAUGUAUUUCUGUUUCAGUUAUGUGAACAUCCCCAUUUUAUUCUGGAUUUGCUAAUACUAAGGUGCUAGACAUAUGACUGAUCUAUACUGCUCAUUAGUCAGUUACAUGUAGAAAGCUCAGCUUUAUACAGUACUGUGAUCAGAAGACACAAUAGCUGUCCUGCAUCCUGCCCAUAUCAGCCAGGGUGCUAUUUUUUCCCAUGAUGGUGAAAUCAGCACUCCCUCUACCUCCCAAAGGGCCACUACUUUCUUACUUCAGCCUUAUCACUUUUUCACCACCUUUGUCUCCACAUUUUUUCCAUGUGAGAUAGCCUUCUGUGAGCAGUCCAUGUGGUGGAACCCUGCGUGAAUACAUGGACAGAGAUGGCAGGCUCAAGUCUGAAGAUCUUGUGGAGCGUAACAGUCAGGAACUGCCCACUGCUAGUGUGGGUGAGCAGCGGCCAGUUGUCAUGCUAUUCAUCUGCUGAAUAUCUAGGGAAUCCCACAAAACAGGAGACAUUCUUCAAAAGAGGCAACUGAAGUAGGCUAAGAUACAAGACAACUCAGCACAGUUCUUCAAGACAGUUAUUAAUCACUCCAAAGAUAAAGCAAGUUGGACAGGCAGAACGCCAUAAACAGGAAAGCCCAAAGCAGUGUACUACAGUGAGGUGCCAGACCCAUUCAUUUUUUGUCAGAUCAUGUCAGAGCAAAGGCAAACUGCCCCAGACAGCUAUGAAAAUGUAUUACUUGUUUGUUUGUGUUUUCUUUUUCUUUUUUUUUUUUUCCUCACCUCUAUUUUUUGAAAGAUCUGAGCAUGAAAUCUGUGUAGCCUAAGCCUGUUUAGCCUUGCAGCACACAGGCACAGCAUCAGAGUGAGUUUGUGGCCAAACCUUGUUCAGACAACUUGCAAAGCACCAUUCUCAUUUAUGUGCUCAGUGCACACAAGCUCUUCAUCAGAGCUCUCUUUACUAGUACAAAGGAAAUUACUGCAAUCUUUCAAAGAAAAACAAAACAAAGCAAAACAAAAAACAAAAAAAAAAAAAAAAAAAAAAAAAAAAAAAAAAAGCGUCAGCCUCAGAUGCCUGGCUUUUUCUUUGGCUGAACUCCCAAGUAAUCCCAUCUUUCGUAGUUAGCAGGCAUUUACCCUUUCAUGUUUAUUUCCAUAUCAUGGCUCCUUUUCACUUGGGCCCUUAAAAUACUCUGCUAGGACCUCUGCUCCUCCUUCAGGUAUAAUAGCCCCUUCCAUGAGCUCAAAGACAACAGAAGGAGCUUCUGAGCUCCAAAAUUAGUGCUGCUUAUAGCAUGAGUUCUUUGCAAAGCAAACACUUUAGCCAAAGGAUAGAGUAUAAUUCUUGCAGUUCAAUGCUUAGAGACUUCAGGAUAACUCCUUAGAAAAGGACACCUUUUCCUGAUGAAAAAUGAAGAGUUUGCUGAGGGGUCCUGACAACACCUUCCUCCCAAUUCCCUUUCAAACAUUUUACUUUGAUAAGCAGGAAAGACUGGUGUAAGCUCAGCCCUAUCCGUAACAGAUACAACCCAGCCAGGCCACUAGGAAUGUUAAAGGGCUGGAGAACUUCUCUUGUAAAGACAGGGUGAGGGAGUUGGGGUUAUUUAUCCUGGAGAAGAGAAGGCUUUGAAGCCUUCCAGUGUUUAAAAGGGCUCUAGAGGAAAGAGGGGAGGAUGGGCAAGUGGGAUUCUUUAUUAGAGAAUGUAGUGGUAGGAAAAGGGGUAAUGAUUUUAAGCCAAAAGAAGAUAGGUUUAUGUUAGAUAUUAGGAAGAAGACUGACUGCCCGUGUAGUCACUGCCAACCUGCAUAUGAAAACUUCUGUGGAAGCAAUCUGCAUUUGUGGUUGAGCAGCCUGGUUCCUCCAUCUCUUUACAUGUUACCUGAGUACUAAGUAGCACCCAGUGAGUAAAACAGCACUUCACAUCACAACCUCUUCUUCAGCACAUGCUGUCGCCACAACCCAUCCUCCUCCUGUUUGCUGUAGGCCUCCUCCUUCAGUAUUUCUUCUGUGCAUAUGUUAAGUUUACGUGGAUUUGCAAUAAUUACAGUGGGGCUAUUCACUGCAUGUGAGACACAAUGGGAAACCUGACCCGUCUAUCUGCAGCUGACAGUAAUAGUUCUUGUUUCGGAGCUGCUGUGACAGGGUCAGGACAUCUGUAAGGCUGGAUUUCUGUUGAACUGUUUCAGCUCUUUUAUUUAUUUCAUGUUAGUGAUGAUGAUAUAGUGCAGAAUAAUGCAUGUCAGUCCAUAAACGUUAAUGACAGAGUUUAAUUCUUAAAUUCUAAGGUGUUUAUAACUGUGAUAUUAGUCUUGAAAUUUCAUAUUGACAGUGCUUAAUCUGACAAUGCAGGUAUUUAUUUAUAUAGUGCAGUAUUCAUUAGGAAGUGGGACCUCCCAGUGAUUUUUAUUGUCAUUCACCAA